CAAGGAAUAUUGGUCAAUGGACGCAAGUCUGAUCCAGCCAUGCCGCGUGAAGGAUGAAUGCCCUCUGGGUUGUAAACUUCUUUUAUAGGGGAAGAAAGAUACUUUUUUUAAGGUAGUUGACGGUACCCUAUGAAUAAGCACCGGCUAACUCCGUGCCAGCAGCCGCGGUAAUACGGAGGGUGCAAGCGUUAUCCGGAUUUACUGGGUUUAAAGGGUGCGUAGGCGGGCAUGUAAGUCAGUGGUGAAAUACCGGAGCUUAACUUCGGAACUGCCAUUGAUACUAUAUGUCUUGAAUAUUGUGGAGGUAAGCGGAAUAUGUCAUGUAGCGGUGAAAUGCAUAGAUAUGACAUAGAACACCGAUUGCGGAGGCAGCUUGCUACGCAAAUAUUGACGCUGAGGCACGAAAGCGUGGGGAUCAAACA
Molecule: ribosomal RNA, 422 nt
Filed under: uncultured bacterium
Lineage: Bacteria
Description: bacterial SSU rRNA
Rfam family: Bacterial small subunit ribosomal RNA
Source: RNAcentral